Molecule: long non-coding RNA, 4246 nt
Organism: Manis javanica (Malayan pangolin)
Lineage: Eukaryota; Metazoa; Chordata; Mammalia; Pholidota; Manidae
Source: RefSeq, a predicted model, not a curated record
GAGAAGGAACCUGCGCCGCAGCGCGCAAGGCGUAGAAUCCUGCCAACCCGUAGCCAGCGGUCAGGGCAUCUUGUACUUUCGGAAUGGAACGCGUCCUGGCGCAUGCUCGGUUAUAUGGUGUCUGGAACGCUGGCAGAUGUACCUUUUAACCCAGAGGUUGUCUUGCACGUGGGUCUCCUCAGCUGACAGAACUGGAGGCGAUCAUGGCUUAAGGAUCAUAAUUCGAGGAGACUGGCUCAAAAAAACCACAGAAACAGAAAGCGAGCAGCGGUAGCAGCAGCCCGAGCAGCCCGGUCCACCAUCCAUCACUGGAGGAGCAGCCCUCCUACAAAGGUAAUCAGAAAACUAAGGAAAAUAACCAUGUUAUUUUAUCUACAAAGGAUGACAACAGCUUUUCAGAUAAGAACAAGGAGCAUAGCUUUUUCAUCACAGACUCUGAUGCUUCUGGAGGAGAUUUUUGGAGAGACAGAUCAGCUGAACACACACAAGAAACGAAUUCACCUCAUUCACUUAAAAAGGAUGUAGGAAAUAUGGGGAAAGAAGAACUUCAGAAGGUUUUAUUUGAACAAAUAGAUUUACGGAGACGACUAGAACAAGAAUUCCAAGUGCUAAAAGGAAAUAUAUCUUUCCCAGUAUUCAAUAAUUUUCAGGAUCAGAUGAAAAGGGAAUUAGCCUACCGAGAAGAAAUGGUGCAACAGUUACAAAUUAUCCCCUACGCAGCGAGCUUGAUCAGGAAAGAAAAGCUUGGUGCCCAUCUCAGCAAAAGCUAAAAGGUACACAGAACCACUUGCUUUCGCUCUCUUAUAAGAUACAGCCUGCCACUGAGCACUUCUGACCUGCAUAAAGACUGCAAAUUGAAAGGGCUUGGGAAUCAAAUAUAAAGUCAGGCUCGUGAGAACCCAAGGACAAGUGACCUCAAAGCUGCAUGGACAACCAUGUAAAAUAGACUGUAGCAGCCAUUCAUUAGCGGGGGGAGGGGGGAGCCAACCAGAGCAGUCAAUGCUUGUCGCAUCUUUUGGUGGAACCAAAGUUUUGAGUCUUUGUGUUUUUAAAGGCCCACUGAACCCAGAGAGUGGAAGUGCUGUUAGCCAACCAGGGUGGGAAAUCCACGGAUGGUCCCAAGGGAUCUCAGUGCUGCAUAUUUAGAGAGAGCAGCUCUACAAGACUGUCUUUUACGUUUGAAGAAGUGAUUCUUGGUGGAAAGAAAACACAAGACCUGUCCUAGGAGUGAGGAUCACUUUUCUACAGCUAGGACAGCAUCAGCUGAACAAACCGGCUUUUCCUAGCAAACUGGGUGGACUUCCAUGUGACCCCCUUCCUCUCUGGUACUUUGCCUGCUGUAUGAAUGAAGAUUGUAUUCCUCUGGAAAUAUUUUACAGUUUAAUACUGAGUGUAAUUAAGAAUAUAAUCAUGUUAUCAAAAAUGGUAUUUAACUCUGUUGUAGUUUCUUUAACAUUCAUGUGGAUAAAAAAAAGUCUAUAAUAAAAAAACUAAGUAAAAAAAAAAAAACCACAGAAACAAGUAUGGUGCAGCUGUAAAAAUGAAGGAAGCUCUUUAUGUACUGACAUGAACAAAAUUCAAGAUUCCUUGUUAAAUAAAAAAAUGAGGCUCAGAACAGUAAGUAAUGUUGCUAUCAUUUGUGUUUAAAAAGAAGGGGGAUAGGGGAAUACAUGUACAUAUAUGUCCUUGCAUGUGCAUAAAAUAUCUCUGGAAAGAUACCCAAGGAUGUGAGGAUGGUUAUCACUGAGGAGGAGAAAUCAAGGAGACUAGCUUUAAAACAUCUGUUUUUAAAAUUAUGAGGUAUUUGUUAUAUUUAUUUACCUUCCCUUCUUUUUUUUUAAGAUAUAAAGCUUACUUGAAGCCUUCCUCUAUUCUCAUUUUCUUCCCUCUCCCCAGAGGUAAACACUAUUCCUCAGUUUCCUGUUAUCUUUCUCCUGAAUAUUUUGAAACAUACUACAUAUCACUAUAUGUGUGAUACAUAUUACAUGUAUGUAUACAUGUAUAUGUAUGCAUAAACAAUAUAUCACAUUGUUUUGCAUGUUAGAUUUUUUUUUCUGCAAUAUGCUUUCUUCUCUUAAAGGAUUGUUUAGAACAUUUACCCACAUUAAUACAUGUAGCUUUUAUCCAUUCAUUUACACCAAUAUAGUAUUCUGUUGCUUGAAUAUGACCUAGCUGAUCCAUUUCUCUGUUGAUGGACCUCUAGAUUCCCAAUUUUCCAAAUAGUGCUUCAGAUCACAUUCUUACAUGUCUUCUUGCCCACCUGUGGAAAAAUUUCUCUAGGUCAGUGAGUAUCAAACAUAUUUUUGCUACAUAUUCUUUGCAGUAAAAAUAUUUUCUCCAGGCACCUCUAAUGUAAUAUAUGUAUUUAUUUGUGAAUUACAGAUAUGAACCAUUAUACCAAAUUAGUAUGUCCAUAAGACAUAGAAAAUAACUAAAAAGGGUUAUUAGUUAAGUAAAUACUGUGUUACAGAUAUUUGCUUGUGGUACAGAAAUCCUCAAUGAACAUAAUGUGGUUGAGUAUGCUUCAUUACUUCCCCCUUCUUUUUUGUUUUCAUUCUCAAUUGUGUAAAAUGCACCUGUAAAACUUAUCAUCUUAACCAGUUUUAAGUAUACAGUUCAGUAGUGUUAAGGAAUCAUUACUGGCAAGAGUUUCUCUUGACCCACAGUGAUUUUUCUCAAGUGUUGGCCAGCAGGAUUAUUUGUAAUCUUAAUCUUGCUUUUUCAAAGGAAUCUUAUUAAACCCCUUAUCCACUUUGGGGGAUUAGGGAAAUUAAAUCUAGAUCAUAUAAUCCAUAAGAACAUUUAUUUGAGAAUGUGUAAACUGCUUAGAACGUUGAAAACAAACACACAAUACCCCUCCAAAUAAUGAAGCUUCCCCAUACCUCUAACCAGAUAAUUCGCCUGCCUUACUAUGUAACUCAGGGUGUCUGACAAGAGUCCAGGGUAGGUUACCAGCACCAGCGUCAAUCUGUUCACUAAAGAUUAGUAAAGCUUACUUGUUUUUCUUCUUUUGUAUAAAAAAAAAUUUUUAAUUAUAACGUUUCCUUUUAGCACCUUUGUGAUUAUCUUGUGUCUGAGGGCUGCACACCUCUCUUUGGAGACCAGGAUAUACCUAGAAACAAAAUUACUGGGCUGAAGGGCUUGUACCAUACUGGGUAUCACCAAAUUGCUCUCCUAAGGGCUUCUCCCAGUUUAUAUGCCCACCCUUUUCUUUCUUCACACUUUACUAAAACCUGGUUUUAAUAUAAAUAAAUUUUUUUUUGCCAGUCAAAAGGGUGUGAAAUGGUAUGUAAUUGUUUAAUUUGCAUUUUCCUAAUUAUUGGUAAGUUUGAACAUUUUAUAUAGUUAUUAGCCAUUAAAAUUUCCUUAUUGCCUAUCUAUAUCCCUUGUAGAUUUUCCUACUGGGUUAUUUGUCUUUUCCAUACUGAUUUGUAGGAAUCUACUUUUUCUUUUCUUUUUUUUCUAUUUCAUUAAUUUCUAUUCUGUAUUACUUCUAACCAUCUGCAAUUUCUGGGUGUACAAUGUUGUUCAUUUUCUGACUUCUCAAGGUGAACACUUAGCUGAUUCACUUUCAGUCUCUCUUAUUUUAUAACAUAGCAUAUACAUUUGAGGUCAUGCACAUCCCUAGAGUUACUUUAGCUGAAUUUUACAGCUUUUUGAAAGGAAUCUCAUAGCUUUUGAUAUGUAGUUUCUCAUUGUCGCAGCUCUAAACAUAUGGCAGUUUCCAUUGUUUUAUUCUCCUAUCAUGAAUUAUUUAGAAGAGUGUUUUUAAAUUUCCAGAGGUAUGCAUUUUAUUUUAUGCCUUUUUAAAACAAUUAUUUUUAUUGAUUUCUAACUUCAUUAUAUUGUGGUCAUAGGAUAAGUUCUGUAUGAUGCUCAUUUUUUGGUUUUGGUUGAACCUUUAGUGGCAUGGUAUAAGUUAGUUUUUAUAAUGUUCCAUGUUUACUGGAAAAUAAUGUUUAUUUUCUAAUAUUUGUAUCUUAAAGUUUGUCAUAUAAUUUAAUCUUUUAUAUGUUACUUGUUUUGUUUUUGUUUCAUCUAUCAUUUUAUUUUGAGGGGAAAGUAUGCUAAAAUAUCCCACCACAUUUGUAGAUUUUACAGUCUUCCCUUGUAUUUCUGCCUUAAAUAUUUUGAGGCUAUGUGGUUAUAUUCAUAGAGACACUAGGUUAUUUGAUUUCUAUAUUGGAGAAUUGUUUGUCAUCAAGCAAUGACGCCUUUGUCUCUAAUAAAUUCUUUGUCUCAUAAA